GAUUAAUUCACUGAUUUGGUUAAAAUUCGCACAAUCUAACCAUUCCACGUCCAAACAAUUCUUACAUUGCCUCAUGCAUGAAUUUUGGGGAUAUAUCUCAUAUUAGAACCAUAAUAGUGAUUAAUACAAAUGCAAUCCAUAUGAUCAGAAUGGUCUUGGUUUAAAGACUCAGAUAAUUAGAAUUCUUGUCUCAUCAAAGGCCUCCAUGGUAAUCUUGCAAAAAUCUGCCAAAAUUAGCUUGUAAAAAAUGUAAUGUAAAAAUUUUAGAAGUUAAAAUUUUUUUUAUAAUUACAAAAUUAAAAUUUAGAAGUUGUCUAUGUCAUUUUCUGCUGCUAUAACAAUAUCACAGACUGGAUAAUUUAUAAACAAUAGAGGUUUGUCUCAAGUUUCUGAAAGCUGACAAGUCCAAGAUCAUGAAGCCAGCAUCUGAUGAGGGCUUCCAUGCUGUGUCAUAAUAUGGUGGAAGGGCAAGUGAGCAUGUCUGAAACAGAGAGAGGAGAAAAAGGUGCGAUAAAUUACCCUUUAUUAAAAACCCACUCUUGUGAUAACUAACCCACUCCUGUGAUAACAGCAUUAAUAUAUUCAUGAGGGCAGACCAUGCUCAUGAUAAUGACAUUAUCUCUGAAAAGUCUCACCUCUUAAUAGUUACCAUGGCAACUGAAUUUCAACAUGAGUUUUUGAAGGGACAUUCAAACCAUAACUUUGAAUAAAUAGUGCAAUAUGUAGCAAGAAAAGGCAUAUAAACAUAAAAUGUUAUAAUAAUCAGCUCUGAAGAUCCUAGAGAAUAAACGAGUUAUUCUGUUCCCCUGAGUUUGUUAAAAGAAAUGAACACUCUGGUUAAAAGGUAAAUAUGAAAUCUUAAAAGUAUUGUCCAUCUACAUAUUUCAUUUUCUAAAUCUUUAUUUUUCUAGAAUGCCUUAAAGAGUAUUCAGAACACCAACUAGAGAAAAAUAGAUGACUUUUGAUGUAGGUAUGUCCCAUGCCACAUAUAAUAUAAAUAACUUAAGGUUACCUGAAAUUCAAGUUUAACUGGGUGCCUUGUACUUUGUCAGGCAACCUCACUCUGGCUUCCCACCCAGGAGUCAGUGGGAACAUCCACAGGUGAUGCAGGAAGGACGGUCAGGACAGAGUGUUUCCCCAUCCUGCUCCCUGCUGGCGGGGUUGAUAUAGCUUGUUGCAGCCCUUUGCACAAGGUCACACCUCCUGUUAGUUCUCUAGGUCUUUGGGUUGGAGGAAGCUCUCCUUUCCCAAGUUUCUUCUAACCUAGGGGUGCUAAAUACUUCUCCAACAUCCACACUCAGUGUCCCUUUUUAAUUGUACCCGGGCACUGAAUUAACUGUAGUCAUUUCCCUACUUCUUUCUUACACUUGCUGCACUCUCUGAGUAAUGACUUUAUUAAAUGCUUCCCAAAUAGCUCAUAUUGGCAUGCUAUCUGCUUAUACCCCAAGACAAGAACUCCUAGAGAUCUGGUCUCUGUUGAAUGUUGACAUCCUUGGUUGCUCACACCUUGAGCAAUGUUGACUCUCAGGCUUUGUCUGUGAGCCCUGAUGGACUGCUCUGUCCUCUCCAGCAGCUCCAUCACUGUCUUCUCCUCCAUUUGUUACCUGCAGUUAGCCGAGUAUUUCCCAGGGUUUGAUCCUUUUCUCUUUUCUCUUCUGUCUUGGUUUUAGCUAUUGCCUUUAUGUAGAAUUGCGAUUUUGUUCUUUUAUUUACCGUGACACCCUUGAGAGAAAAUAUUCAUAUGUAUGACACAAUGCCUUGGUAUUCCUAGAGUGUGGUGAGGUCCAAAGAAACUCAUUAUCAAGUAAAACAAUGCUCAUGAUGGUUAAUUGUACAUAUCAAUUGGCUAAGCUUUAGUGCCCAGAUAGUUCAACAUUACUCUGGAUGUUUCUGUGAAGGGUGUUUGGGGGCUGGGGAUGUGGCUCAAGCGGUAGCGCACUUGCCUGGCAUGCGUGCGGCCUGGGUUCGAUACUCAGCACCAUAUAAAAACAAAGAUGUUGUGUCUGCCAAACACUAAAAAAUAAAUAUUAAAAUAAUCUCUCUCUCUCUCUCUCUCUCUCUCUCUCUCUCUCUCUCUCUCUCUCUCUCUCCCCCUCUCUCUCUUUACAAAAAAAACCCCAAAACAAAAUAGAGGGUGUUUUGGGAUGAGAUGUAUUUUUAAAUUGGUAGAUUUUGAGUAAAGCUGAGUGGCCUUCAUAAAGUGGGUGAGUGGGCCUCAACCAGUCAGCUGAAGGUCUGACUUGGACAAAAGACUGACCUCUCUCAAGCAAGAGAGACAGAUGGUCAGAUGCCACAGAUGGCCUUUGGACUUGAACUGAAACAUUAACUUACUAUAACCUGGCCCUGCCGAUUUUGGAGUUACCAACCUCUCAUGAGCCAAUUCUUUAAUCUUUACCCCUCUCAAAUUUUACAGAUGUCUAACAUAGAUUAGAUUGACUGCAGAUUAUAAAUUAUUUAAUCUGGGCUGUGCAUGGUAGCACACACCUAUUGCUUUAGUCAGCUUUUUUGCUGAUAUGACUAAAGAAUCUGACCAGCACAACUGUAGGGGAGGAAAAGUUUAUUUGAGGGGUCAUGGUUUCUGAGGUCUUAGCCUGGAGAAGGCCGGCUCCAUUCCUUGGGGCUUGAGGUAAGGUAGAACAUCAAGGCAGAAGAGUGUAGCAGAGGGAAGCAGCUCCCAUCACAGUGAUCAUGAAUCAGAGAGAGAGAGACUCCAGCUCCAGAUAACAAAAUGCAUACUCCAUAGCCACACCACCAAUUAACCACUUCCUCCAGCUAUAACUCACCAGCUUCUACUUACCACUCAGUUAAUCCCAUCAGGGAUUAAUUCAUUGAUUGGGUUAAGACUCUCACAAAAUCAUUUCUCCUCCAAACCUUCCUGCAUUGUCUCACAGGUGAGGUUUGGGGGACACUUCAUAUCCAAACCAUAACACCUAUAAUCCCAGUUUCUCUAGAGGCUGAGCAAGGAGGAUCACAAGUUUGAGGCUAUCCUCAGCAACUUAGUAAGGCCCUGAGCAACUUAGUGAAACCAUGUCUCAAAUAAAAUAUAAAAAGGGUUGUGGCUGUGGCUCAGAGGUUAAGCGCCCUGGGUUCAAUCUUUGGCACCCCCAAAAUAAAUAAAUAAAAAUAAAAUAAAAUUAUUUAGGCUGGUCUGUAUUUAGCUGCAUUGCUUCUCUUGCAUCCAGGAACUCAUUUCAGAAUGCAUGUUAGGGAGCAUAACGUCUCUGUAAGUGUGCACUAGUUUGUUUCCCACAAGAAACAAAAUUCUUACGCUGAUUUAAACAAUAAGUACAUUUAUGAUCUUAUAUAACAAAAAGUCCAGAGCUAGGACACACCCCCUGUGCACCAUGUCUAGCUUCCACAGUUCUCUUGCCUCUACCCUCAGACUGGCUCCCUGGAAAUUGAAGCUAUUCCAGACCUUGUGACAAGGCAUGAAAAUGUUCACAGGAAUAAAUAUGAUGAUGCUCUUUUUUCUUGAAAUUUGUUGCUCAGAAUUUGGGAAACUUUCCCCAGAAACCUCCUCCUUGCAAUCUUAGUGGCCACCAUUAGGUUCCUAAAGCAAUCCUGGGCAGUCCUGGGCAGGGAGAAUACCAUGUUUAGCUCAAACAAACCGGAAUCUCCUCUGGAACUGCAAAUGAGUUUGGCUUCUGCUGGGUGCAGUUGGGUAGACAUGUGAGGAAAAGCAGGAUCCAGUAGAGAGGGAAUAAAGGGGAAGCAGGUAUUGCCUAGGGAGCCAGCCACGCCUUCAUAUAAGCAGAUGCUGCCUUGGUUCUCUGCCAAAUAAAAUAUCAAUUUCUUAAAAAAAAAAAACAAACCAAGCCACACUGAAUAUAAUUUUUUUGAGGAUUUACUUAAGUUCUGGGGCAUGAGGAUCAGCAGCUAUAUCACACAACCAUUUAUUGAAAUCCCUCAUGAGAUGUCUCUUCUGUUUCACUUCUUCUUGUGCCUGCCUCUUGUGUCCUUCCACCCACCCAAACCCUCACUGUCAAACACAGCUCUCUCCCCGCUUUUCUGUUUUAGGAGUGAACUCACAUCCUUUUUCUUGCUGCAUGUGGUGAAGCUCCAUCAAUACUUAUUUGAGAACCUAGAAGCUCAUCCUCUGCCAGCUUCUUCUUUCACUGACCAGUUGUUGAGAAAAGAAAUUUUCUUCUUCAUAUCAUUGCAUAAAAUCUAUAACACCUUUUAUUCUUUUAAAGAAACUCUUGUUCAAGGAUGUUAUUUUAAAUAAUAUCAGUAGAAGGCUACCUGUAACCCAUAUUGUUCUUGGUCUUAAGGGGCUGGCAGUGUGUAGUAAAGGCUUUCAUAUCAGUAAUUAUCAAUAGUCCUAGUUUUGACUUUUUUUCUAACUGGAGUCUUGCAUAGACUGUUCAUCUUCACCAGGAAAAGAAACUAUUGUUCAAAAUUGAGGUAAUCUCCUAUUCCAAAUUAGUAUCCACUGUUUCUUAUUGCUGUUAGCAACAGCCCUGUUCUUCUACCUGACACUUUAAAUUUCUUUCUCCUUUGUUCUUUACAUUAAUCUACCACUUUGCUAAAUUUGAUCUGGGAGCGUUAAUUGGUAUUUCUGGAAGUAAAGUAGUUGUGGUCAAACACUGUUGGGGAAUUUUUUAAUUCUAGGGCACUUUCACACACACAUAACCAUGCACAUUCAAAUAUUAAAGACCCCAAGAAAUUUUGUAAAACAAAAGGCAGUUAAACUUCACUUAAUCCAGCAUUUUCCAGAAUUCUUUCAUCCCAGAAUCAUUUUUGUAGGGAAUACCUAUUCAUAUGCACUAGAAUAAUCAUACUUAAUGGAAAACAGUAGGAAAAACAUCGAGCUGAGCAAUUUCUAAAUAAGGGUGCAGGACAAAAUUAAGAUUUACUGCAUGUCUUGUAAGUACUAUAUAUGUUGGUGAAAUAGUUUUUAAAAUCUCAUUUCUACCAUUAAGAAAAAAAAAACUCCCUACAUACAUCUUUUAUUAAAUUCAUUUAUACUGAAGUUCAACUUGUGAUGAUGAAAUAAAGUAUGGAUUUACCUUAAAUAGGCACAUUUUAUCAUAUUUUCUCCCUUAUAUUUCUAAGGAAAGAAUAAAAGCUAACCCCUCUAUUUUAAAUUCUCAAAAUGACUUGUACCACAUUUUACUUGAAAGUUUUCAUUAAAUACUAAUGGUCUGUGGUUUCAGCUAACAUUUUAAUAUGUGUAGAAUUGAGUAUGUGUAGGUUAUAAUUGUUUUAUUCUACAUGACAACAGCAAUCUAAGGACUUAAUAAGAGUCUUGAGACACUCAUAGGAGCUCAGGGUCUGGCACAGGACUGCCUCUUCAGACCAACAGACAGCCCAGAUCUGCCCACAUUGACAUACAUGGGACCCAGGCCCAGGGUAGGUCUAAGUCUGCCACCCUCCCACCUCUCACCCCCCACACACACCUUGGAGCCAAAGCCUAACCUACUUCCAUCUUGGGACACUGCAGUCAUCACCAUAGCCUUCCCCACACAGUAGCCCCUACUUUUUGACAACAGACAGGGCCUAGAAGCAACUGCAUCUCAGGGCAGGCAUCCCAAAGACAAUGUAAGGCACACUCUUCUAGCCCCAUCUCUGUAAGACGAUGCAUCCAUCUUGGGACACCCCCAUUAUUAUCUCGAGUUACCUUGGCUAUUGCCACCACCACCUUUAGUUGCAGUAGCAUACAUUGAGGGACACCAGCAGGGUCUGGAAGCCCAACAUCAAAGUGAGGUACAGACAAUCAGCACGGGUACAACAAGAAUAUAGGGUAGAAACUGAAAUAUCUCAGAUUUACACUGCAAGAAAGGAAGACACAUAGACAACAUGAAAAAAAAAAGGGGGGGAGGUGCCCCAAACAAACCAGGAUACUACAAUAACAGAACCCAUGAACAGCAAAGUUGAUGAAAUGUCAGAGAAGGAAUUCAGAAGGUUAUAAUUAAAAUGAUCUGUGAAUUAAAGAAUGACCUAAAUGAGCAAAUAAGGCAAAAAUUGAUCACUCCACAAGGAGAUAAGAGAGCAACUACAGGUAACAAAAGGUUACUUCAAGAAAGAAAUACAACCCUUUCUCUCCCUUUCCCUAUACAAAAGAACAUACAAGAGGAAAUGAGGGGAAAGGGAAAAAUAAU
Molecule: long non-coding RNA, 6101 nt
Filed under: Marmota monax (woodchuck)
Lineage: Eukaryota; Metazoa; Chordata; Mammalia; Rodentia; Sciuridae
Source: RNAcentral